Molecule: long non-coding RNA, 592 nt
Filed under: Nicotiana benthamiana
Lineage: Eukaryota; Viridiplantae; Streptophyta; Magnoliopsida; Solanales; Solanaceae
Description: long non-coding RNA (NBEN_LNC011789)
Source: RNAcentral
ACAAGAACCUCGCCACCAACAAGUACGAAGCAGAGGCAAAAUUCAAGCAAAUCUCCGAAGCUUACGACGUUCUAAGCGACCCACAAAAGCGUCAGAUCUACGAUCUCUACGGCGAGGAGGCCUUGAAAUCGGGUCAAGUCCCACCACCUCCGCGUGGUGGACCCCACAACAUGCGAAAUCCCCAUCCUAACCCUACAUUCCGCUUUAAUCCUCGAGACGCCAAUGAUAUUUAUGCGGAAUUGUUCGGGUCCUCGUCGUCGGAGAAUAAUGGGCGGCCGAGGAAGUCUAGGGAUGCUUUUUUUAGGAGUACGGCGAAUGCUGGUGCUGAAUUUUCCGGUGCUGGAGCUGGGACCUCCGGCACCUGUGGAGGGUUGAGAAAGGCGGCGCCGGUGGAGAAUGCGUUGUUGUGUAGUUUGGAGGACUUGUAUAAAGGGGCUAAGAAAAAAAUGAAGAUUUCUAGGACUGUUGGCGAGGAGGCGUUGAAAUCGGGUCAAGUCCCACCAGCUCCGCGAGGUGGACCCCACAACAUGCGAAAUCCCCAUCCUAACCCUACAUUCCGCUUUAAUCCUCGAGACGCCGAUGAUAUUUAUGC